This 440-nucleotide ribosomal RNA is filed under the name uncultured bacterium. RNAcentral's name for it is "partial 16S ribosomal RNA". It matches the Rfam family "Bacterial small subunit ribosomal RNA", at positions 338 to 795 of the family's 1533-position model. The record is from RNAcentral.
CCUACGGGAGGCAGCAGUGAGGAAUAUUGCUCAAUGGGGGAAACCCUGAAGCAGCAACGCCGCGUGGAGGAUGAAUGUUUUCGGAUUUUAAACUCCUUUUGUUAGAGAAGAUAAUUACGGUAUCUAACGAAUAAGCACCGGCUAACUCCGUGCCAGCAGCCGCGGUAAUACGGAGGGUGCAAGCGUUACUCGGAAUCACUGGGCGUAAAGAGCGCGUAGGCGGGAUAGCAAGUCAGAUGUGAAAUCCUAUGGCUUAACCAUAGAACUGCAUUUGAAACUGUUAUUCUAGAGUAUGGGAGAGGUAGGUGGAAUUCUUGGUGUAGGGGUAAAAUCCGUAGAGAUCAAGAGGAAUACUCAUUGCGAAGGCGACCUGCUAGAACAUAACUGACGCUGAUGCGCGAAAGCGUGGGGAGCAAACAGGAUUAGAUACCCCGGUAGUC